This 7930-nucleotide long non-coding RNA is filed under the name Olea europaea subsp. europaea. Lineage: Eukaryota; Viridiplantae; Streptophyta; Magnoliopsida; Lamiales; Oleaceae. The record is from RNAcentral.
UAAAAAUUUCUUAAAACUCAAAUCCAAACCUUAAACAAAAUGGAAUUGCGGAGAGGAUUUCCUCUCUUAAUCCAACAGUACAAAGCUUUACUCUUUAAGAAUCUUCUCCUCUCAUGGCGAAAUAGGCGAUCCACAUUUCUCCAGCUUUUCUCAUCCCUCUUCUUCAUCUUCAUCAUCUUCUGCAUUCAAAAAGCAUUCGACUCGAGAUACUCCUCGUCUUCUUCUUUCAAAAGUAUCAAUGAUCCUGAACCGUUGAUCUUUCCCGCAAUCCCACCUUGUGAGGAAAAAUUCUACUCUAAAUUGCCAUGCUUUGAUUUUGUUUGGAGUGGGAAUGACAGUGCUAGAAUUGGGGAGAUUGUUAGAAGGAUUCGAGAGAAUAAUCCCGGCCGGAGUAUUCCUUCUGACAAGGUUUAAUUUUUCCCUAUUUUUUAAUUUUGUUUUCUUGUUUUGUAAGUAAAAUGCAGUUUUCUGAAGAAGUUUUCACUUAAUUUUGAUUACAGCAAAUUGAAUUAAAAAAGGAUUGGAUGAGAGUUAGAAGGGUGUGCCCUAAUGUGUGUUAUCUUUGUUUUGAUGCAAAAUCUCUUAGGCUCUAUUUGAUUGCAACAUUUUUCAUGGAAAAUGUCACAUCCAACGAAAAUAAUUUCCACUUUGACUGUUUGAUUCGUAUGUGGAAAUGGAAUUUAAAUUCUUAUGUACAACCAUUUAAAGCACGUUUUUGGCCAAUUCCAUGAAAAACGAAUUCUUAUGGGUAUGGUGAUAAUUUGUUUUCCAACUUAGAUGGAAUUCCUUUUCCUUUUCCUCCUUCGCAAUCAAACGGGGCCUUAUGCAUAUUUGUUAGGGAGGAUUACAUAGCACAUGAUAAGGGCAAAAAAGAAAAAAAAAGUACAAUCUUGUUCAUUAUAUUGUUCAGUUUGCAUGCAAACGCAUUGACUUAUAUAUUUUGUCUGCAGUACAUGAAGCAGAAAAUGUAAAUAUAGCUUUACUGUUGGAAUUAAAUUCCUUGUUGAUUUUAAUCUAUUGAAUUUUGAAGUCAACGGGUAGAAACCAUUAAAAAUAGUAAAUGAAGUAAUCAAAAAUCAGAAUCUGGUUAGGGUAAUGUUUUAUAAAUUAUAGAAUAUUAUAUUAGUAUUUAAAAUGAAUUUGUUGAUUCCAAAAUUUCUGUAGUUCACAGAGAAACUUGAUUAGUUCCAUUUCAUAAACUCAUGUUUUCUACUCAAAAUUAAAUUGCUUAAUUAAGUUGUUUAGGCUGAUUCACCACUAUGUACAGUCACUUGGUAAUUACCUUCUUAUGUUUUUGUUAUAUAUUUCUUUCCCCGGUCUGCAACAUUAUUGAAGUUCCACUUAAGGCUAGUUACAGUUUCCAGUUUGGAUGUAUAAAGGUAAAAUGAUGCAAUAUCCUUUCUUUGAUUAUUAUGAUGAAUCAAUCAUAAUGGCAGAAAAUAACGAACUGGGGAUAAGAAAUAUAAUAUGGGACUCAGACUUUUCUGAAGAUAUUUGGAAUUCUAUGUGAUUACAAAUUUGGUUGUUUACUUUUUUGAUCGGAGCUAAAUCUGUAAUUUUCGACAAUGCCUUUUUUAGGAAUAAAGUUAGUAGCAUUUUAUCUAAGUAAAAACUUGUAAUAUAAAAAAACUGUAUUGCUGAAAGAAUGGGAAAUGAUCAUGCCUUGAGCAGGUUCAGUCAUUCAAAACGCGAAAUGAAGUUGAUGAUUGGCUUGCCAACCAUUCUAUGCAUUGUCCUGGAGCUCUGCAUUUAGUGGACAGAAACGCUACCGUAAUUAGCUAUGGAUUGCAGACUAAUUCUACUCCACUUGCUAAGCGAGGAAAUUUUGAAGAUCCUACUUUUAAAUUUCAAAUUCCACUUCAACUUGCUGCAGAACGUGAAAUCGCAAGAUUUCUGAUUGGAGGUAUGACAUCCGAAAUUCUUCUUUUAGAGCAUGUUUUGCAUCACUUAUAAAAAAAAAUGAAGUUAAUUUUUGUCUUCAAACAUGUUCGGAUAAUUUAUAUUUUUUGUACAUUUAAGUAAAAAGUUACUUUUUUGAAAGCAACUCUUACCUUGUCCAUAUUUGGAAAACAUUGUAAUUUUCUUAUAUUUUAAUGUUCAAACUCAAACAUUAAUUUUAAUCACACAUUUUGGAGGACGUACAACUACUACCCACUUAUCCCACCCCUCAUUUUUGUCACAUUAUAAUUUCAGAUAGCUAUAAUUUUAUAUUAGAUAAAUUAAUUUCUUCAGGUUUCAACAAUAAAAGUAUUUAUUUUAAAACUUACUUAUUAACUUAUAAGUGAACUUUUUAAGCUUAGCGCAACAUGCUCUGAUCUGAUGGAUCAUAUAAAGCAUGAUGAGAGUUUCCUUACAAUGCACCCUCUUUUUUGUGGCUGCAUACACUUCAGAUGCAAGCUUUAGUUGGGUUGUCAGUCUUAAGGAAUUUGCCCAUCCUGCUAUUGAAAUCUUUUCGGCUGUGCAAAGAGCAGGACCGACCUUUUUCCUGGCAAUUGCUAUGUUUGCUUUUGUCCUUCAAAUUUCUGCUUUGACCACGGAGAAAGAAUUAAAACUUCGCCAGGUAUAGAAUAAUCUCCAUUUCAAAAUGAAGAUAAGUACUCCUAUGGUUCCAGCAUAUUGCAAAAUCCUGAAUAAUUAUUCACUUACAUGUUUGAUAACAGGCAAUGACAAUGAUGGGUCUUUAUGAUACUGCCUAUUGGUUAUCGUGGCUCACUUGGGAGGGAAUCCUCACAUUGCUUUCCUCACUUUUCACAGUUUUAUUUGGAAUGAUGUUCCAGUUUGACUUUUUCUUGCACAACAGUUUUGCUGUUGUGUUCUUCUUGUUCUUUCUCUUUCAAUUGAGUAUGGUAGGUUUCCUUACUCCAGUAUGAAACGUACGUCAUAUUCAGUUAUUGUCAUUAUAACGAGGUUUGUUUCUUGCUUCUGUUAUCAGACUGCAUUUGCCUUUAUGCUGUCUACGUUUAUUAGCAAGUCUGAUUCGUCCAGCACGUUAGGUUUCUUUUGCUUUAUUAUUGGUUCCAUGACUCAGGCAAGUUUCUCUUUUCAAAAAAUGUUUAAUUACAAAGUACUGAAUGCCACUCAUAAUAACAGAUCUCUCUUCAUACUAUUCCAGAUCGUGACAGCAUUUGGAUUUCCUUACAGCGAUGACUUCUCGAACACGUACCGAAUUGUGUGGUCACUUUUUCCUCCAAAUCUUUUUGCUAAAGGUCUCGAAUUGCUCUCUGAUGCAACUGCAACUCCUCAAGAUCCCGGUGUCAGCUGGAAUGGGAGGACAAAAUGUUCACCAAAUGAUACUGAUUGCAUCAUAACAAUUGUACGUCAAACCAUCAAGCUUCUAUUCUAUUUCCCUUUUAUGCAUUACGAGUUAACUAGUCUUAGAAAUUAACUCAAAGCAUGUCUGAUACACAUUUCUCAACAAGAUUGGAUAGUGAACCUUUUCUCUUUUAAUACUGCUGAGUACCAUCUAAUCCAACUUAUUUAAUAUGGCAUCUUUGUCUUAAAAUUUGUUCGAUGAUUAUCUUAAGUAUUCAACUGCCUCUUACUAAAUUGCUUCCAAAACUUUUUAUGUUGAUUGACAGAACAAGAUUUACAUAUGGCUUUUAGCUGUAUCCUUUCUCUGGUUUGUUUUGGCCAUCUACUUUGACAAUAUUUUUCCAAAUACAUCUGGGGUGAGAAAGUCGGUGUUAUAUUUUCUGAGUCCUGGGUACUGGACCGGAAAUGGGGGAAACAAGGUGGAAGGUAUUGAAAUCCGAUACAAUAAUUUUCUGUCAUUUCAUCCUGUUAUUUGGUUGAUACUGCCAACUGCUAAUAUCUUAGGCAUGCCCUUUUUCCUUUGAGAAGGAAGCAUAUGUAGUUGCUUUAGUUCAGUACCACUCGUGGACAGCACCAUUCCAGAGGACGAGGAUGUACUUGAAGAGGAAAACAUAGUGAAACAGCAAGCUUCAGACGGUAGUGUAGAUUCACGAAUUGCAGUCCAAAUACGUGGUCUCGUGAAAACUUACGCUGGAGCAACAAAGAUCGGGUGCUGCAAAUGUAAGAGGACCUCUCCUUACCAUGCUCUCAAGGUAAAAUAAACCUUGUGGAAUAUGGUACCGUAAGAGUAGUUUUGGGGAACUGAAUCUCCGAGUUAAUAUAGAUCAAUAGUGCAUAUAACAUAAGUGUGAAGGCUCCUUUCUAUCAUAAAAUUUCUUUAAAAAGGCAACCAGUUGCUUUAUUUGAGAUCUGUGUACGGAACAGAAUUCACACACAAAAUUGUGUGUUUGUGUGUCUAUUUAAGUACGCAAGCCCUUCUUUGACAAGCAAUUUGAUUUUAUUACUAAUUUUUUGAAAUUACAAUUGGCAUGUGAAAUUGUAUUCUGAAGCAUAUAAUGGAUAUAAAACCUGCAGGGAUUAUGGGUGAACUUUUCCACGGAUCAGUUAUUUUGUCUUCUUGGACCCAAUGGAGCAGGAAAAACUACUGCUAUUAAUUGUUUGACAGGGAUUACACCAGUAACUAGUGGAGAUGGUAAGAUCUGUUGUUUUGGUUAUCAAGUUUCCUUGCAAUUAUUUGGAUGACGUCACGAAGAAUCUGGAGUAUGAUUUUUUUUUUUUUUUUUAACAGCAUUAAUUUAUGGAUAUUCCAUCCGAAGCUCCACUGGUAUGUCAAACAUUCGCAGGAUGAUAGGGGUUUGUCCUCAGGUGACUCCCAACCCCCCAUCCCGUCUUUGUAUGUUAUAACUAUACUUUAGUUUUCACUUUUUAAUGGUCAGAUGUAGAUGUAGAUUCUUUGUCAGAAAGUGUGCAAAAUGAAGGGAAGGGGAGAUUUGAAAAUCCUUUAUGCACUAUCGAAUAAUUUGGAUCGAUUAACAGAGAUGAACUCCUUUUUGGUGACAGUUUGAUAUUCUUUGGGAUGCAUUGUCUGGUCAAGAGCACCUACACUUGUUUGCCAGUAUCAAAGGUCUGACGCCUGCUUCCAUUGUGUCGGUACGUUCUGUACAAACCUAAGUGAUCUUUACAAAAUAAACAACUUUUUACUUGUGAAAAGUCUGAGAUAUGGGUUUUUUUGUCAAAAUAAUAGGUUGUGCAGAAAUUAAUAGCAGAAGUAAAACUUACUGAGGCAGCCAAGAUGAGAGCUGGUAGCUAUAGUGGCGGAAUGAGACGUCGUCUUAGUGUUGCUAUUGCCCUUAUUGGUGAACCAAAGUUGGUCAUUUUGGAUGAACCGGUUGGUAGACAGAAUAUUUCUCAUUCUUCUUUUAUAAUUUUUAAUUGGUUCUCUGCUUGCAAUUUUAUAUGAGUUUUUACUUUGAACCUGUAGACCACUGGGAUGGAUCCAAUAACUAGAAGACACGUGUGGGAUGUAAUUGAAGAGGCUAAAAAAGGGCGUGCCAUUAUUCUAACUACUCAUUCGAUGGAAGAAGCUGACAUCUUAAGUGACAGGAUAGGAAUUAUGGCAAAGGGUAGGCUUCGCUGCAUUGGAACUUCAAUAAGGUUGAAGUCGCGGUUUGGAACUGGUUUCAUUGCUACUAUAAGCUUUUCCGGGGAUGUUAAUGGUACCCCAAACAGAGGGGAUGCGUUUGAUACCACUCAACAUGAAGCUGUUAAACAGUUCUUUAAAUCAGUAAGUCAAAUAUUAGCUAGUUAUAAUAUUCCCGGAAGCAUAUAAACUGUUUCUUACAUGUAAUUUUAUUUGCAGUAUUUGAAUGUUAUGCCUAAGGAGGAAAGCAAGUCUUUCCUGACUUUUGUUAUUCCUCAUGAAAAAGAGAAGCUAUUGACGGUACAAAACCCUCACUUUGUCAACUGUUCCUUAUUUCAAUCGUUAAUGUAUGAUUUUAAUGAAAAAUUCAAAGGUUAAUAAUGCAAAAAGGGUUCAAAAAUAAAAAGAGACACAAUUAAAAUGGGUUUUAAAAAUUUAUCGUACUAACGUACUUAUUUGGAUAAAAAUUCUAUCAGAAAUUUUUUGAGGAGCUCCAAGAGAAAGUGAAAGAAUACGGCAUAGCAGACAUCCAACUUGGUCUUACAACUUUGGAAGAAGUUUUUCUGAAUAUAGUAAAACAGGCUGAAUUGGAAAGUGCUGCGUCUGAGGGAAGCUUUGCAACUAUGACUCUAAACUCAGGAAUUUCAGUUCAGGUAAAGCAUAUUUGCAUUACUCAGUUCAUACUAGUGUAAGUGUGUCCAGCUAAGCCUAAAAAAUACUUAAUAAAUAAAUAAUUUUCUUGUUGGUACAAUUUUAAUUUUUUUUUGCCGGAAAAUCCACUUGAACUUGGGCGAGUUUUAGGUUGACUCAACUAAGCCAAGUGGUUGCCCUCCUGCCCAGAUAUUGAUAGAAAGGAUUAUUACAUAGAGGGGGACGUGGACCUUACCUCCUAGUUGAACAAAUGAGGAGUUUAGAUCAGCUAAAUUACUAAAUUCAACAACGAAUUAAGUGAGCAGACUAACAAACCCUUUGUGUCCUUGGCGAUUAUUUACACUCUUAAAGUUGGAAGCCCCUUAUAUCUGGGCGCAAAAUUCUUUUGAUUUCACCAGUUAGCUCUUGAGGGUAUAGUAGCUUGAACUGCCUUUCUUUAUACUCAGUAUGAGCCACCAAUCAGUGACCCCAUUACUUUCUCUCCAAAAGGCAACAGCAUCGCUUUGAAACUAUCAUUCUUCCGCUAAUAUUGAAUUUCCUCCAACUGGUAUUGUACUCUGCACGGCCAUGUAGAUUGUUUGCAAAUUAAUUUAAUAGAGGCCUUGGAAAGAACCUCCAUACUUCCUUAGCAACAAUGCCAUAUAAUAGCACAUGUUCAACUAAUUCAUAUUUUGCCACCGGAACUUACAAGUUCUGCUAAUUUUCAUUAUAAUUUGCACCUCUUCUGUCUAAUGUCAAUAAGUCGUGCCAUGUUUUCCAUGUGAAAAAUGAGACCUUUAAAGUGAUAAAUUUCUUCCAUAUUUAUUUGUCCAAGGAUUUGAUAUUUAUCCUUUGCCCAAGUACUUCCAACAUAGAGCACUAGAGGCUCCAUUGCUAAUUAGUUUGCAGUAGAUUAUGUCAUGGCCUUUAAUAUAAGGAGGAAUUCUUAUUAUAUCUUCGAUCAUACAAUUAAGCUGUAAAGUAUUAAGCGUACCUACAUCCAAAGCUGCUCUCUUUCAUAAGUUGAACAGUUAUGAGUUAGUGCUCCGAUUGUCAGACCAAAAGGAAAUAUUUCCCAGCCUCAGUUUCCAAAAUACGUGGUUCUGAUGCUUCCCUAACGGCUAGAAGUCUCUUCCAAACAGACAAGUCUUUCCCUUAGUUUGAUCUUGACAAGGAUGAUAAUUUUGACAAUACCUAGAUUUAGUAUCCCGAACGCAGUUUGUGCCCUAAAUUUCCACCAGAGCUUCCAUGAAAGAAGUAAGUUAAUUAUUUUGAAAGUAAAUUUUAUCUUAAUGCGCAGGUACCUGUAGGUGCGAGGUUUGUUGGGGUUCCAGGAACUGAAUCUACAGAAAAUCCAAGAGGAAUUAUGGUAGAGGUAUAUUGGGAACAAGAUGAUGCCGGAGCACUCUGCAUUUCCGGUCACUCAGAUGAGACACCAAUCCCUCCUCAUGUACAACUAAGAGCAACAUCUGCUCCCACAUCUGGCAUAAGUAUUUUGGGCCGAAGACAGCAAAUUCAUGGAAUUGUAAUUGACCCUGACCAAAUCACCAAUUCAAAUAUGUGAUCUUUGUUGAAAUGUUAUCUAGUAGGAUAUUUAGUGUACACAAUAAUUAGAAAUGGUGUUGAGAAUCAAUUUUCUUUUUUUUUUUCCCCUGUAUCUUUGCAUAAACAUAGGAUGUAUCAUUCCUUUUCCAGCCAACAUUAUAUGCUUGUAAUAUUUAAAAAGUUAUAUACUAGGGCAAUAUUCAGAAAUAAAUAGAAGUUUGAAAUUCAAUGCAUUGUUCACUAUUGUCCAAUCAUGUAGAUUGGACAUGCACUUAGUACUUUUUUUUGAGAAUUCCCAAGAAA